GAACGCUGGCGGCAUGCCUUACACAUGCAAGUCGAACGGCAGCACGGGAGCAAUCCUGGUGGCGAGUGGCGAACGGGUGAGUAAUAUAUCGGAACGUGCCCAGUCGUGGGGAUAACGUAGCGAAAGCUACGCUAAUACCGCAUACGAUCUAUGGAUGAAAGCGGGGGAUCGCAAGACCUCGCGCGAUUGGAGCGGCCGAUAUCAGAUUAGGUAGUUGGUGAGGUAAAGGCUCACCAAGCCGACGAUCUGUAGCUGGCCUGAGAGGACGACCAGCCACACUGGGACUGAGACACGGCCCAGACUCCUACGGGAGGCAGCAGUGGGGAAUUUUGGACAAUGGGCGCAAGCCUGAUCCAGCAAUGCCGCGUGCAGGAUGAAGGCCUUCGGGUUGUAAACUGCUUUUGUACGGAACGAAACGGUGAGCUCUAAUACAGUUUGCUAAUGACGGUACCGUAAGAAUAAGCACCGGCUAACUACGUG
Molecule: ribosomal RNA, 480 nt
Filed under: uncultured bacterium
Lineage: Bacteria
Description: bacterial SSU rRNA
Rfam family: Bacterial small subunit ribosomal RNA
Source: RNAcentral